CGGAGUGGACGCACCACUGGUGUUCGGGUUGUCAUGCCAAUGGCAUUGCCCGGUAGCUAAGUGCGGAAAAGAUAACCGCUGAAAGCAUCUAAGCGGGAAACUUGCCUUGAGAUGAGUCUUCCCUGACCCUUUAAGGGUCCUAAAGGAACGUUUAAGACUAAGACGUUGAUAGGUUGGGUGUGUAAGCGUAGCGAUACGUUGAGCUAACCAAUACUAAUGAACCGUGAGGCUUAACCUGACAACACCGAAGGUGUUUUAG
RNAcentral lists this ribosomal RNA (259 nucleotides) under Providencia stuartii. Its description in RNAcentral is "partial 23S ribosomal RNA". It matches the Rfam family "Bacterial large subunit ribosomal RNA", at positions 2693 to 2925 of the family's 2925-position model. Lineage: Bacteria; Pseudomonadati; Pseudomonadota; Gammaproteobacteria; Enterobacterales; Morganellaceae. The record is from RNAcentral.